Molecule: long non-coding RNA, 751 nt
Filed under: Trifolium pratense (red clover)
Lineage: Eukaryota; Viridiplantae; Streptophyta; Magnoliopsida; Fabales; Fabaceae
Description: long non-coding RNA (TPRA_LNC001099)
Source: RNAcentral
AUCGCAGGGAGCGAAAACCACUGACGUGAAGCCGCUGCAUACAUCUGUAUCGGAGGAUUUGAAUGACUGGGAAUUCGCUGAUGAAGGCGAUCUGUUUAUGUCCGGUGGAGAGCCUAUGCCGAGAGUGGUGUUCGGUGAUGUUCCUACCUUUCAAGAAGCAAAGGAAGCUACUGCUGAAUUGAAAGAUGCUAUUGAUCAGUAAAUUUUUCUAUUUCAAUUUUUCAAUUAGGGUUUUUUUGUUUUCUUGUUGGAUAUUUCAAUAUUUUUGUUAGUUUCUUUUUUGGUUGAUAAUAAAUAGUCAAAGGGUUUUAGUCUGAGUUAGAUUAAUUAACUUCUGUUAUUUUUAUAAAACUAAGAUGUUUAAUUUCCUGUGAUUUAUGUUAGUUUUUGUCUGAUAUCUUCUUUUUUACCUUCCAGAAUUUACCUUUCAUCUGGUAAUUCUCGAUUUGAGGGCUCAUCUCCUGGUAGCGAACUAUCUGUUCUGUCUCCUCCUGCUAAGGAACCAGUGACCAAUUCUAAUUCUUGUCUUGUUGAGGCUAUUUCAAAUCCCUCAGUGCCUAAGCAUGCCAUUCAUGCUUUUCAAUUGCUUAGCUCAAGUGCUGAGGCCCAGGUGAUAUACCUUAUUUUCAUGUCUGGAUGAGAGAUAGUCAAUAUUAAUCAAUAGUAGCAUUUUUAAUCUUGUUAGUUAGUUAUGUGUAAUAUAUCGAAAUUUUGAUGAUUUGUUGAAUUGACAUUAUACACUUGUCUUUGG